AGAAGAAGCGAAAAACAGAGUUUAGGCCCGUGGGCAAAGUUACGGAACAGAAGAUAAUUGAGAAUGGGCCUUAAGGGCCUGUUUUGCUAGGCUGUCUGCGACCCUGUUCUGUGAACGAGGGAUGAGACGGAAGUCGAUUGUAGCAAAGCGAGACAAGAGGCGGUGGAUGUCCUGGAGAACACCGUAGAGCUCUGUGAUCUGGUUUUUGGUGGUGAUAGCUCGGAUGAGCGUUGAGCAAUCGGAGAGGAUGGUGAUCGUUGUGAAUCCUGCUUCUAGCGCCUUCUCGAUUCCUCUUCGGAGAGCUAGUGAUUCAGCUAAAAGAGGGGAACUAACCAACGCGAUCAUCUGUGCUCCUGUGAAUGGUGAUUCUGAUCGAUCACCUGGAAAGAAGCAAGCUAGCCCUGCUCGCUUCGUGGAGGCGUCCCAAGCAGCAUCGACAAAACAAGAAAACUCCGGUGGUGAUCUCGUAGCGUUUCGGGGUUCACUUCUCGAAGAUCGAGUUGCCUUGUCUUCAAAGAUGAGUUUAUUACGGGCUGUCCAGAGAGUCCAACAGAUCCAAGGGAGGACGGGUGAGACUACACCUGAUGGGGGGAGGCAGAGGGCUUGUCUGAAGCGAACCAAAGCCCCUUUAAAGUCAACGCCCUCAGCUAUGUGAACUGGGGUGGCUAGAGGGAUGUGGCUCCAGACUUCUUUGGCAAAUGGACAGUGGAAGAAAACAUGUGUUGCUGAUUCCACUGCUUUACACCGAGGGCAGAGCGCAGCAGAGUUCAUUCCCCUUCGUUGGAGUUCCACUCCUAAAGGUUCUGUUGAUUGGUUGCAGCAAGAACAUUGGGAGUGACCAUCUGUGGGGGGGGUUGUUACUGCAUUAUACCCGGAUUUCGUUGAAUAAACCCCCGAGUCAUGUUUGAGCCAGACGUAGGUGUCUUCUGCUCCUUCCUUGCUGGGGUGAAGGCAUUGGAUUUGCGAACUGAACUCCGGUAGGAAUUGUUCUAUUCUGCUCUUGUUCCAUUGAAGGUCAUCAGUAAGGAAGUCCGAGACUCUCAGGUCAAGGGCUGCUUCAGAUUCUCCCGCAGUAGUUCUCUUCCAUAGAGGAUGCUUCUCCAACCGUGUGAGCAAACCGCUGGGAUAGGAGCAUCAAGGAAGCUUCUCUUGUGGCAGUACUUCCCCGUUAGUACUCGUGCCAGCAGACAGUAAGAGACUCACCGGUAGCUGGAAACAGGACAUUGAAUACGUGGGAAUGGCUGUGAGGACCGCCUUCAACAUGGUGAGCUUGCCAGCUCUUGAAAGAAAGCGUGUAGACCAGUUUGAAGCUCUCUGUCUGAUUCUAUCCACUAUUGAGGUGAAUAGAUCUUUUUUCUUUCUCCCGAAAUGCUCUGACAAACCUAAAUAUUUACCCACACCUCCUUGUUU
Molecule: long non-coding RNA, 1410 nt
Organism: Brassica napus (rape)
Lineage: Eukaryota; Viridiplantae; Streptophyta; Magnoliopsida; Brassicales; Brassicaceae
Exons: 5
Source: RefSeq, a predicted model, not a curated record